CCAAGAAAAAUGAAUCAGCAACACGUACAGUGACCAGACGUGCACGUUUUAUAGGGACAGUCCUGAUAUUCAGGCCUUUGUCUUAUACAGGAAACUAUUACUUCUCACCCCGUCCUGAUUUUUCACACUUGCUAUCU
Chelonoidis abingdonii (Abingdon island giant tortoise) is the source of this 137-nucleotide non-coding RNA. Lineage: Eukaryota; Metazoa; Chordata; Testudines; Testudinidae. The record is from RefSeq and is a predicted model, not a curated record.